This 4895-nucleotide long non-coding RNA is filed under the name Sus scrofa (pig). RNAcentral describes it as "lncRNA (ENSSSCG00000055262.1)". Lineage: Eukaryota; Metazoa; Chordata; Mammalia; Artiodactyla; Suidae. The record is from RNAcentral.
UUCGCUCCCGGAGGCGGUGCUGCCGCUGGCUGAGUGGCGUCCUCAGGCGCCCUCGGGUGGGGCGGUCUUGGCGUCGUGAGGUCGGGGUCAAUUCGGGAUCUGUGUUGCUGCAUCUCGGUUGGCCGCGUACCUGAGCUGCGGUGAACUUGGCGUCCUGCGGGGCAGCUCUCCGACACAGGGCUUUCUAGAGCGUGCCCCGGGGCUCCAGGGUUGGGCUAGGAAAGAGCCCCUGCACGCGGGGCUCUCACCGUCCUGAAGGCUCCCUCCCAGGAAAAUUCUUGCAGAGGCCAUCUUCCCUCCCUGCACUAUCCGAGCCCGGUCCCAACUUACUUUUUUCAUCGUGCUUCCCUCAGGACACCCACCUCCUCUCCUGCCGGCCGCCAGGUUCCCCAAGGUGGAUCUGCAGUGAGACCUCUACCGUGACUCGCGGUUGCAGGCGUUAUUUCUCUCCUUCCUGACAGAAGGUGGCAGGCUGCUGCUGGCCCUCAUUCAGGUGUCUGGAGAGUCACAGAUGUGACUUCUGAGUGAAUUUACUGCAGAGCGAGCUGAGGAUUCCCACGAACUCUGCGUGAAUGACCAGCGAGUCCACCUCUUCCACCUCCUCUACCGGCUUGGCAGCGCCAAGUACAGUGUGAGCACCGACUCAGCAGACCUGUGGAAAAUAGAGAACUCUGCCCAGUGGAACUCACUCUGGAAGGGGAGAGAGAACUGGCCCUUGGACAAUUCCAGUGCAAUAUGCCACAGCUUCCACUGUCAAGUGGCCCCGGUUAAGCAUUUGUUUGUCAAAUGCAAUGACCCUGUGAGUUAGAUAUCACCUUCAUUUCAGCCAGGAGGACUCUGAGGCUCAAGAGGUGGGACUUAGGAGGUUGUGUAUGCAUUUUUGUGUGCAUUUUUGUGUUCUCCACGUGCCCGGCACACUGCCCACUGCACAGCUGCUGAUCAUUUAGGCAGUGAUGAUUACCAGUUCAUGAACCAGGCUGUGAGAAUCAGUCUCCCGGCCAAGGCCACCAGCCACUGGGUAUUGUCCCCACCGGAAAAGUGUCUUGGCUCUGCUCUGGUCUCUACUUGUUUACAAGGAGUAGAAUUGGGUUAGACCUUGUGAAACCCAUGCAUCAACUUCUCAGUCAUCACCUGUUUUCAUUUUAAAUGACUGAAGUCCUUUGCCAUUCCCUUCACUUUCUAAUCAACCCUAGUGUUUCCUCAAAACCAAUUGGGGUUCUCAAGCCCUCUGGGACCUCUGUUUUCACUGGCUUUUUUUUAUGAAGCAAUAGAAAUUUAACUUCAGAACUUCUGGUUGAAAUCUAAGGAUAACACCGUGGAUAUUUUAUUCUAUAGAUCGCCAGGUCCUCAACGUUGACAGAAAAGCAAAGAGGAACAGGAGGGCAGACUGUGUUUCCCAGUGGACUGUGGGAGGGCCCCUGACCCAGAAGACAAGGUCCAGGUGGCUUCCUCGGUGUCAGGUGGAAAAGGUGAGAGCUUCAGGGUCAGAAGGGAGCUCCAUGGAGGAGGAGGUGUGGGAGAGAGAGAGAUUUUACAGCCUUUGCAGUGCAAAGCACUGUGUUGCAUCUUCUUACACAAGAGCCUGAAUUCUUCUUCAAGACCUCUGGGGCUGAUUUAUUUUAUAUUUUGUUAUUUAUUCUAUUUUUGCUUCAACCCUCAAAAUUAGACUUCAAGGCACUGCAGUUAUAGUCUGGCUACCUAAAUUGAUCUGAAUACCAAAACACAUUUCAGUUGAUCUCAGGGCAUUGGAGCAGUUGAUUUUCUUCCCAAAGUGAAGUACCAUGGAGUAGCCCAGGAAAGAAACUGAGCAAUGAUUCCGUCCUUCUGUCGAGGUGGUCCAGGCCGCACCUGCAUCAGAAGAUCAGUCCCUGGGCCACAGUAGGACGUGCUGAAUCAGACUGUCUGAGGACAGAGUUUGAGAAUUUGCCGUUUUAAUGAGCUCUCAACAGCUACAUAAGCACUAAAAUUAGACAACACCUUCUCUAGGCCACCAUUUUUAUCACGUGGUUUAGGACAUGGAAGGCGGAAGGAAGGCUGAGACCACUAGAGGGCAGGAGCUUCAGGCUGACUCUGCUGCUCCCCAGGCUGAAGGGCCCUCCGGCCUUGCUCAGAUGGCCUCACGUUUCCGUGGUUGUUUCUUCAUAGCACACAAAAAGCAGAGUCUUCUCCUGAAAGGAGGAAAAGAUGAACUGAUGACCGCGUUCAAAAACCUACGUCCAGGAAUUUCCCAUCGUGGCUCAGGGGUAAUGAGCCUGACUAGCAUCCAUGAGGAUGCAGGCUUCCUUUGCAUAAUCCUCUGUAAACUCUUUUAGAUAUCCUUCUGUUGGAAAGCAAGACCACAGCUUCCUGUUCCUACAAAGCAUUCCUGCAGGAAAGGGUUCCUGUUACAGGGGGUCCCGCUGAGCUGUCAGUUGUGGUUAGCGACCUGGGAUGCAGGAGGUGGGCAGUGUUUCCUGGAGGGAUGACUCUGUUCUUGGCCCCCCCUCUCCAUGAAGUGGAUCUCAGCAGUUCAGUGUGUCACGGGGUUAAAUCCAAUCUGCCACCCACGCCUGGAGAGUUUGAUGAUGGUUUUGUGGGGAGACAAGUAAGGCUUGAAAUGACACAUUCUAAAGCAAAGCUGCCUCCAAACUGGCUUCCGGUCCUGCUCACGUCCUCUCCCAGACCUGAAGACCCGCCCUCGCGCUUGUCUCCCUCUCUGGUUCUCUCCUGGUCUUCUCUCCAAAUCCUGUCCCGGGAGCUCCCAUUCCAUCUGUUUUCUCUAGACUGCAGGUGCUUCUCGCUUCUGGAAGGCUCGGGGGCGGGUGGGGGAGGCAGAUCAUGAAGCACAGAUGUGCCCUCUCCCUCCGUCAGUCACACGUGUGUGAGUGCCUUGUGUCAUCUGGGGCGAGCGUUUUGACAAUGGGAUGUCAUUGGCAUCCGAGCAUUUGAAGUCCGGUGAUCCCAGCCCUGUGUGCUCUGUUACACAUAUUCUCUCUUUCCAGUAGUUUCGAGUCUUUGUGGAAACAGAGAUGGUACCCACCAUCCUCCAUCCUGCAUCCCAUCCACAAUCCUAACAUCGAGAAGAAAGGGUCCCAAAACACUGCAGCAAACUCAUUUGGGAGGAAGAUCUUGACCUGAACCAUGACUAUGCUUCAGGGAUAGUCAAAAAAAUAAAAAUUUAAAAAAAAAUAUAUAUGACAUAUGGAAUUGUUUUAAUUUAUAUACUUAUUUAUUUAUUUUGGCCAUGCCCAUGGCACACGGAAGUUCCCAGGCCAGGGAUUGAACCUGCGCCAUAGCAUUGAUCAGAGCCCCAGCACUGACACCAGAUCCUUAACCAGCUGAGCUGCCAGGGAACUCCUAUGUAAAAUUUUUAUUUAUCCCACUUAGUGAGACUAUUUGUUUUACUAUGGAAAUGCCAAUGUGUUUGAUUACAGCUGCUGCCGUGGACUUUGCCAGCGCUGCUAUCAUAUGUAAGUUCUAUAGAUCUUAUUCAGCCAGAAUAGGCUGAAUUACAGAGCACCCCAAGAGUUUGAGCACCUGUACAACUUUAUGUCUCCAAGCAAGCUGGACACAAGCCCUGUGCUCUUGUGGGCUCCAUGAGACCACAUGGUCUGAGACCAACACUGUGCCCGAUUCGACACAUGUCCCCAUAAAGAUUCACCAAGUGAAUGCACGGGGCUUGUCCGUUGACAGGACUGCUCAGAUCUGUGUGGGCUUAAAUAAAUUUGCUCAUCAGUUAAGACAGAGCCCUGCGAAUGUCCUUUGAUGCCCAUGCCUCGAGAAUCUUUUUCUUUCUUUCUUUCCUUUUUUUUUUUUUAAUAUGGACUUCCGCUAUAGCCAUGGCAACACCAGAUCAUCAACCCACUGAGUGAGACCAGGGAUUGUACCCACAUCCUUACGGACGCUAUGUUGGGUUCUUAACCUGCUGAGCCACAGCGGGAACUCCUAGUCUUCAUUUUUAACAGGGGCAUUCUUUACUUCUGGUCCAUGGGCUCUUUUCUUUAAUAAUUAAAGCAGAUGUACCAGAUAUGUGAAUAGGCCACAAAUGGGCUAUUUUAGUUAGCAUGAAAUUCAAGUUAAUGCAUAUGUAAGUCAGAAGGACUUCCGUAUCUCAAUACGUGAAGAUUUCCUGUAUCAGGCUUUUUGUUCUUUCUGUUGACAUUACUCUCCAAUUGUUGUGACAGAGUUGCAGACAUGCUGACAGUCCCCAAAUGAUCUGACACAAGCUCCUUGGUAGGUGUUCUUCAGGCAGGAAGUCUCGCCCUUGCUGAUCCGAGCUGGUUCUGGAUUAGAAACCCAGGUGGGAGUAUGUUUGACAGAUCUGCCAGGAACUGCGGCAUGACUUUCCUGAUCUGGAAGAGCAAAUGUCAUACAUUUUACACAUUUGCAGGUAUUUUAAAACAGUUUUGUAAAAUGCAGACUGCACACGUGCAAUAUUGUGGGGUUACCCCAGGUUUAUCGAGACAAGAGCUCAGUGGUAUCUAUACGGAAUUCUGGGUGUGCUCUAUGACCUCUGGCCCCCCUCACCCACCGACUUCUCUCUGGUCCUCAAACUCCACUCCCCUGGGAACCCUGAUGCUGAUGGUCAACUGGUGCCUUUUAGGCUUCAUCCUCCAGGACCCAUUCCGCCCCCUGGGGCUUUGGCCAGAAUCUUUCUUCUGCUAAACCAACUCUGCCACUUCCUUCAAGAUUCAGCUCAAGGAGUUCCCGUGGUGGCUCAGUGGGUUAAGAACCUGACUAGUAUCCAUGAAGAUGCUGUUUGAUUCCUGGCCUCGCUCAGUAGGUUGAAGAUCUGGUGUUGUCACAAGCCGUGGUGUAGGCUGCAGAUGCAGCUCAGAUCCAGUGUUGCUGUGGCUGUGGUGUAAGCCUGUGGCUGCAGCUCCAAUUGACCCCUAGCCUGGGAACUUCCAUAUGCU